Molecule: ribosomal RNA, 468 nt
Filed under: uncultured bacterium
Lineage: Bacteria
Description: partial 16S ribosomal RNA
Rfam family: Bacterial small subunit ribosomal RNA
Source: RNAcentral
GACGAACGCUGGCGGCGUGCUUAACACAUGCAAGUCGAACGGAAAGGCCCUGCUUUUGUGGGGUGCUCGAGUGGCGAACGGGUGAGUAACACGUGAGUAACCUGCCCUUGACUUUGGGAUAACUUCAGGAAACUGGGGCUAAUACCGGAUAGGAGCUCCUGCUGCAUGGUGGGGGUUGGAAAGUUUCGGCGGUUGGGGAUGGACUCGCGGCUUAUCAGCUUGUUGGUGGGGUAGUGGCUUACCAAGGCUUUGACGGGUAGCCGGCCUGAGAGGGUGACCGGCCGCAUGGGGACUGAGAUACGGCCCAGACGCCUACGGGAGGCAGCAGUGGGGAAUAUUGCACAAUGGGCGGAAGCCUGAUGCAGCAACGCCGCGUGCGGGAUGACGGCCUUCGGGUUGUAAACCGCUUUCGCCUGUGACGAAGCGUGAGUGACGGUAAUGGGUAAAGAAGCACCGGCGAACUACGUG